AGUGAACGCUGGCGGUAGGCCUAACACAUGCUAGUCGAACGGCAGCACAGUAAGAGCUUGCUCUUACGGGUGGCGAGUGGCGGACGGGUGAGGAAUACAUCGGAAUCUACUUUUUCGUGGGGGAUAACGUAGGGAAACUUACGCUAAUACCGCAUACGACCUACGGGUGAAAGCAGGGGAUCUUCGGACCUUGCGCGAUUGAAUGAGCCGAUGUCGGAUUAGCUAGUUGGCGGGGUAAAGGCCCACCAAGGCGACGAUCCGUAGCUGGUCUGAGAGGAUGAUCAGCCACACUGGAACUGAGACACGGUCCAGACUUCUACGGGAGGCAGCAGUGGGGAAUAUUGGACAAUGGGCGCAAGCCUGAUCCAGCCAUACCGCGUGGGUGAAGAAGGCCUUCGGGUUGUAAAGCCCUUUUGUUGGGAAAGAAAAGCAGCAGGUUAAUACCCCGCUGUUCUGACGGUACCCAAAGAAUAAGCACCGGCUAACUUCGUG
This 492-nucleotide ribosomal RNA is filed under the name uncultured bacterium. RNAcentral's name for it is "partial 16S ribosomal RNA". It matches the Rfam family "Bacterial small subunit ribosomal RNA", at positions 29 to 507 of the family's 1533-position model. The record is from RNAcentral.